GCCGGGGACUCAUGGGAGACUGCCGGGGUCAACUCGGAGAAGUGGGGAUGACGUCAAAUCAUCAUGCCCCUUAUGUCUUGGGCUUCACGCAUGCUACAAUGGCCGGUACAAAGGGCUGCGAUACCGCGAGGUGGAGCGAAUCCCAGAAAGCCGGUCUCAGUUCGGAUUGGGGUCUGCAACUCGACCCCAUGAAGUCGGAGUCGCUAGUAAUCGCAGAUCAGCAACGCUGCGGUGAAUACGUUCCCGGGCCUU
This 252-nucleotide ribosomal RNA is filed under the name uncultured Cellulomonas sp. RNAcentral describes it as "partial 16S ribosomal RNA". It matches the Rfam family "Bacterial small subunit ribosomal RNA", at positions 1130 to 1382 of the family's 1533-position model. The record is from RNAcentral. Lineage: Bacteria; Bacillati; Actinomycetota; Actinomycetes; Micrococcales; Cellulomonadaceae.